This 165-nucleotide ribosomal RNA is filed under the name Phaleria macrocarpa. RNAcentral describes it as "5.8S ribosomal RNA". It matches the Rfam family "5.8S ribosomal RNA". From Rfam's summary of the family: 5.8S ribosomal RNA (5.8S rRNA) is a component of the large subunit of the eukaryotic ribosome. It is transcribed by RNA polymerase I as part of the 45S precursor that also contains 18S and 28S rRNA. Lineage: Eukaryota; Viridiplantae; Streptophyta; Magnoliopsida; Malvales; Thymelaeaceae. The record is from RNAcentral.
AAACGACUCUCGGCAACGGAUAUCUCGGCUCUCGCAUCGAUGAAGAACGUAGCGAAAUGCGAUACUUGGUGUGAAUUGCAGAAUCCCGUGAACCAUCGAGUCUUUGAACGCAAGUUGCGCCCCAAGCCUUCGGGCCGAGGGCACGUCUGCCUGGGUGUCACGCAU